RNAcentral lists this ribosomal RNA (468 nucleotides) under uncultured bacterium. RNAcentral describes it as "partial 16S ribosomal RNA". It matches the Rfam family "Bacterial small subunit ribosomal RNA", at positions 28 to 507 of the family's 1533-position model. The record is from RNAcentral.
GACGAACGCUGGCGGCGUGCUUAACACAUGCAAGUCGAACGGAAAGGCCCUGCUUUUGUGGGGUGCUCGAGUGGCGAACGGGUGAGUAACACGUGAGUAACCUGCCCUUGCCUUUGGGAUACCUUCAGGAAACUGGGGCUAAUCCCGGAUAGGAGCCCCUGCUGCAUGGUGGGGGUUGGAAAGUUUCGGCGGUUGGGGAUGGACUCGCGGCUUAUCAGCUUGUUGGUGGGGUAGUGGCUUACCAAGGCUUUGACGGGUAGCCGGCCUGAGAGGGUGACCGGCCACAUUGGGACUGAGAUACGGCCCAGACUCCUACGGGAGGCAGCAGUGGGGAAUAUUGCACAAUGGGCGGAAGCCUGAUGCAGCAACGCCGCGUGCGGGAUGACGGCCUUCGGGUUGUAAACCGCUUUCGCCUGUGACGAAGCGUGAGUGACGGUAAUGGGUAAAGAAGCACCGGCUAACUACGUG